Molecule: long non-coding RNA, 5792 nt
Organism: Acinonyx jubatus (cheetah)
Lineage: Eukaryota; Metazoa; Chordata; Mammalia; Carnivora; Felidae
Exons: 3
Source: RefSeq, a predicted model, not a curated record
UUCUUUAUGCAUUCAUCUAUCAAUAAACCCUUGGGUUCUUUCCAGAUCUUGGCUAUUGUAAAUAACGCUGCAGUAAACAUAAGGGUGCACAUAUCUUUUCAAAUUACUGUUUUCAUUUUCGUUAGGUAAAUGCCUAGUGGUAGAAUUACUAAAGCAUAUCGUAAUUCUGUUUUUAAUUUUUUGAGGAACCUGUUUUCCACAGUGGCUGCACCAAUUUGCAUUCCCACAAACAGUGUACAAGGGUUCCUUUUUCUCCACAUCCUCGCUAUUGUUAUUUGUUGUGUUUCUUUAUUUUAGUCAUUCUGAAAGGUGCAAAGUGAUAUUGUUUUAAUUUGCAUUUCCCUGAUGAUUAGUGAUGUUGAGCAUCUUUUUAUGUGUCUGUUCGCCAUCUGUAUGUGUCUUCUUUGGAUAAAUGUCUAUUCAGGUCCUCUGCCCAUUUUUAGUUUGAUUUUUUUUUUUUUGGUGUUGUGUAAGUUCUUUAUAUAUUUUGUAUACUAACUCCUUAUUGGAUAUAUCAUUUGCAAACAUCUCCUAUUCAGUAGGUUGCAUUUUUGGUUUUUUGGUGAUUUCCUUUGUGGUUCAAAAGCUUUUUAUUUCAGUGUAGUCCCAAUAGUUUAAUUUUGCUUUUGUUUCCUUUGCCAGAGGAGACAUAUCUAGAAAAAUGCUUUUAAUGGCUGAAAUCAAAGAAAUUAUUACUGAUGUUUUCUUCUAAGACUUUUCUGGUUUCAGGUCUCACAUUUAGGUCUUUAAUCCACUUUGCGUUUAAUCUUGUAUAUGGUGUAAGAAAGUGGUCCAGUUUCAUUCUUUUGCAAGUAGCUGUCCAGUUUUCCCAACACAUUUGUUGAAGAAAUUGUCUUUUUCCCGUUGUAUAUUCUUGCCUCCUUUGUUGUAGAUUAAUUGACCAUAAAAGCAUGGGUUUAUUUCUGGACUUUCUAUUCUGUUCCAUUGAUCUAUGUGUCUGUUUUUUGUGCCAGCACCAAACUGUUUUGAUUACUACAGCUUUGAAGUAAAUCUUGAAAUCUGGGAUUGUGAUACCUCUAGCUUUGUUCUUCUUUUCCAAGAGUGCUUUGGCUAUUUGGGGUCUUUUGUGCUUCUAUAUAAAUUUUAGGAUUAUCUAUUAUACUUCUGUGAAAAAUAUUUUUGGUAUUUUGAGAGGGAUUGUAUUAAACGUGGAUUGCUUUGGGUAGUAUGGACCUUUUAACAAUAUUGGUUCUUCCAAUACAUGAGUAUGGAAUUUUUUUCCAUUUUUUUGUGUCAACUUCAGUGUCUUCCAUCAAUGUUCUGAAUUUAUCUGUUAGUUCCAUCUGGUCCAAUGUGUCAUUCAAAGCCCUUGUUUCCUUGUUGAUUUUCUGUCUGGAUGAUCUAUCUGUUGAUGUAAGUGUGUGUUAAUGUCCCCUACUAUUAUUGUGUUGCUGUUAAUAUUUUCCUUUAUGUCUGUUAAUAGUUGCUUUAUGUGUUUGGGUGUUCCCAUGUUGCAUGUAUUAAUAUUUACAGUUGUUAUAACUUCUUCUUGGAUUGGUCCCCUUAUUAUGUAGUGUCCUUUGUCUUUUGCGCCCCCAGACUUUGUUUUAAAGUCUGUUUUGUCUGGGGCGCCUGAGUGGCUCAGUUGGUUAAGCAGCCAACUUCAGCUCAGGUCAUGUUCUCAUGGUUUGUGAGUUCAAGGCCUGCAUUGGGCUAUGUGCUGACACCUUGGAGCCUGGAGCCUGCUUCAGAUUCUGUGUCUCCCUGGCUCUCUGCCCCUCCCCUGCUUGUGCUCUGUCUCUGUCUCUCAAAAAGUGAAUAAAAACGUUAAAAAAAAUAGUCUAUUUUGUCCAAUUUGAAUUGCUACCCUAACUAUCUUUUCACUUCCAUCUGCAUGGUAAAUGUUUUCCUAUCUCUUCAUUCUCAGUCUGCACGUGUCUUUAAGUCUGAAGUGAGUCUCUUGUAGGCAGCACAUAGAUGGGAUGAGACCUGUAUUUUGGAAAGUGGGCAGAAUAUGGUUAAAGUAAGAGGAAGGACUGCAGUGAUAUGAAAAAAAAAAAAAAACACAUGGAAACAAGAGUUCCAUAAGUGGACUGUUAACAAACUUACUUUUUAUGUUAAAAUUCUUGAUUGACAAAUAAUUCUCUUCACUCACCAUGAGAUGAGCAGGUUAGGCCAAGUUGUGCUUGAUCUGCUGUGAGUGAACAACCCCACCCUUCUUUAAGACCCUUGACACAGAUUGCUAUCAAUCACCUGCUUUCCCUCCAAACCUUUUCCAGCAUAGUAACAUUCAAGGCAGCAGCUAUCAGCCGGUCAACAUUCAUGUUUCCCAUUUUUUGCCUCACCAUUGAUUUGGAAAAUUACUUAUAAACUAUUUAAAAUCAUGAAUGGUUAGAACGGGGAGAAAACUACAGGGUCAUUCAGGGAGGUGCUGGAACUAGCUCUCAGAUCUCUUGAGUGAAGUCUAGUGUUUUUCUGUUUCAUAGAUGAACUAGACCAGAUGAACUGUUCCUUGUUAGUACAAUGUAUAUUAUAUGAGCUUUCAGUGAUUUUUUUUUUAAAGCUAAGUUUUGUUACAAAAAUAAUGCAGGCUCAUGAAAAAUCAAAAAUUACAAAACGUACAAUAUGGAAGUAAAUAUCUCAGCCCUUUGCUCCAUUAUCCCUGUUAUCUAUAUGUUGCCUUCCAAAAUUCCAACUUUUACUUUCCAGAGGAAGCUGCUUUAAAGUUCAUAUACACGUAUGGAAAUGUUCUUUACAUAGACUGUAUCUCUCUGCGUCUGUGUCAGUCGUUGCCUCUCUUCAUGUGGAUAAAAUCAUGCUAUGUAAAUUUUCCUUCAAAUUACUUUUUUUAACCUAAAAAUGUAUUUUGCAGACUUUCCUUAGCCCAUAUAUACCUACUUUUUUUUCUUUAGCUGAAUGGUAUGCAAUUAUAUGGAUAUAUCCUCCUUUCAAUGGCAAUUUGAGGUAUUUCCAAUUGCCGUUUUUACAAAUAAUGUUGCAGGGAACAUCCGUCCUAAUAUAUCUUUGGGUAUUUGUGGGUAAGCGUAACUGUCAGAUACAAUAUAGAGCUUGAAAUUAUUGAGCCAAAAGUUAUGUGCAUUUUACAUUUUGAUAGCUAUUAUCAAAUAGUUCUGUUACAAACCAUUUUCCUAUAAAUCAUUGGUAUAGAAAAUGCUUAUUUUCCCCCAACAUCUUCAAUAGCUGGCAUUAAAAAAAAUUCUAAUUAUGGCCAUCUGGAAGGUAGAAAUCUUAAAAAUGUGUUAAUUUAUGUAUGCUCCAUUCUGAGUGAUGUAAGCACAGAAUUUGCCCACUGUUUAUUUACAGUGCACUUAUUGACAUGCACUGCCUGCUCAUUUCCGUGCUCAAACUUAUUGAUCUUUACUUUUGAGAAAAAAAUAAUGUUGGAAAGCCCUGAUUUCGAUACAAUUCUCUCCUUAUUCAUCUUUUCUAAAAUUUCAAAAUUACCUUUGAUGCAUUUCUCCAUUUUCAGGAUUUUAAUAUUUUUCCUCUACAUUGGUCCACCCCAUCUGCCCCCUCACCCAAAAGGGGAAAAUAAUAACCUUCUCCUUCCUUUUAUCUUCUUCAAUUGAGAAUGGUCCAACAUUGAUCACAUUAAAGCAGUUGUUUAAACUAAAUCCCUUUUUCAAGGGAUGCAGUCAGUAUGUAACCAUAGAUAUCAUAUUUUGAAGUCAAAUAGAGGUGGUGGUUUUGACUAUCAUCUAGUAGCUCAACCUUAGCCAAAUUAGGAAAUACCUCCUACCCCAAAGAAGGGGAUGAGGCUUAUAUGUUAAAUAAAAAGGGGUGGGGCUUAUAUGUUAAAGGGCAAACACAGCUCACACACACACACAAAAAAACCUUCAAAAAUGGUAUCUAUUGUUAUUACUGUUAAGAAAUUUGGAGAAUAUAUUUUGGGUAAUUUACUUAGUUCAAAAUAAGAAGCAAUAUAUCUAGAGUGUUAAUUCAUGUUUAAGUGUUUGGUUGCAGUUAGGGUGAGGAGGACUACCAGUACUGUCAAAAGUCUCUGAUGGUCUGGGUUCAGAGAUAAUUUUUGUUAUAAUGUUGCUUAGUAUAUUGUACUCCAUUGUCUUGUUGCCACCUAGUGUGGGUUCUUCCUAUUCAUUUUGUGUCUCAGUGGUACCCACUGUAGGUCAAGUCAUGUGUUUUUGGAUAGGGAUAUAUAUAACGGGCCAAAGUGACCAAACUUGGCUGAUUUGUUUAGAAUGAAUCCUACUGAAAAUUUUACCUCCUGUUUACCUGAGGGCUAUUCAGGAACACAUUACUACUGUGAAGACUUUUUCACUUAAUUUUUGAAUGGGGAAUUUAUUCACAUGAUUGAGGUAGUUUAUUUCACCCUCAUCCACUAUCUUUUGAGUUUUCUGCAUCCUAUUCCUACCCUUGUGGAGUUAGAAAUAUUUUAGAGAGGCAGACAAGAGAUUGCAACAAAGUCUGACAGCACACUUAAGGUCUUCUCAUUACUGGUGAUUCUUGGUGGGGUUGUUGGGUUCUGGGAGGGAGGGCAUUCCAGAAUCCUGACCGAGAAGCUUCAGCCAUGAAAUUUUAAUAUAUAUCAGAUUAAGACUUUAAAAGAUUGACAAACAGUUAAAGGAAUAAACUGCCAUAGAUGAAAUAAAAUGGUUCCUUGGUCUAUUUAUUGAAAUCUCUAUUGCAGUAAUCCCCCUGUAUGUGGCAGCCUCUAGAGGUUAGUUAUAUGAAAAUGCUUCCUGAAGUAGUUUAAAUUGGGUACUCUUGGCCUCUUCUUACCAAAAUGCAUGGGUGAAAACUAACAUAUGUGACACUUUCAUCUGUGUACUUUAGCUAAGUAGAAAUGACCCAUUUCCAGGUUGUAAUAACAUAUUGUAUAUAAUGGUAACGUUAUUACGUUUAUAAUAUAUAAAUGGAAUUAAUUGUAUAAUGUUAUACCAUAUCAUUGUGAAAUGCAUAUUGUAAUAUGUUGUAAUAUAUCCAAGCCCAAUAUGAGUAAAACUCUUAUUUGCAUGCCUGCAUUCUUAUGAAUAUUAUGGAAAUGAGUAAGUUCGUUUCUUAGUAACAAGUUUCCAUAGCUCACAAUCACUUAAAUAUGUGUAUCUAAAGUUUCUCAUCAGUGCUUUAGAAGUUUUCCCCUAAACAAAGCAAUCUGUCUUUUUAUUUUUCACGAAAUCGUUUUUCUAUUUUAGCGUACAUUCCUUUUUCAUUUUUAAGUCUGUAAUCUUCGUUAUAUAAACUGCAGGCUAUCUGAGUGAGGUAAUCUACUCUCCCCUCUGCUGGAAGGGGGAAUGUUUUCCUGUGCCACCAUGUAAUUUGCUUUGCAACAAUUAUUGCUAUUUGUAACCAGAGAUAGUGAUCACAGGACACAUGUAGCUGAAUUUAGAAUCUGUAGAAAACAGGGAAGGCAGUAUGACUGUUUCUAAAUGUCAUUGACUUAAUGAUUUUAAUUCUUUAAAAAUUUUAAAGUUCAAAUGCAUCAAUCCAAACCAUUCAUUUCUGAAAUGUACUUCAGAUAAAUCCCUCCAUGUUCUGAUGUUGCAAAUGGCUGUCAGUAAAUUAUUUUAUUUCCCCGAGUCCCUGCAGUUUCUUAGCCUCAUUUCCAAUGAUAUAGUUUAUCAGAUAACUUAUCUUUAGUCCUAUUUUUAAAACUACAGAAGCCAAAUAUCAUGUAUUCUAGGCAAUUUAGGGAGUCAUACCGACAGGUAUAUGGUACAUAUGGUGUCUUAUAAUCCUUUCCAGGCUUUCUAUCAAGGAAUCCUAGAUGUAUAUGUAAUUGGUAUCUUUUACCAGUUGUACAUGAAAUUUACAAAUGUUUCUUUGGCCUUCUAAUUCUUCUUUUUUUUUUC